AACAUCGCGCACCUGCGGGAACCUGCGGAAGGAUCAUUACGAGAGUGUCACCACUCCCAACCCAUUGUUUACCUACCCGUCCACCGUGCUUCGGCAGGCAGCCCUGUGGGACAGAGCCUCGCCCCCUUUCGCGGGGGGUGCCUGCCGCUUGCCAACCAAAACUCUAGCUGUUUUAGUACCAUCUGAGUCUUCCACAAAUGAACAAAACUUUUAACAACGGAUCUCAGAUCGGAAGAGCAC
RNAcentral lists this unclassified non-coding RNA (240 nucleotides) under soil metagenome. RNAcentral describes it as "partial contains 5.8S ribosomal RNA, internal transcribed spacer 2, and large subunit ribosomal RNA". The record is from RNAcentral.